This 253-nucleotide ribosomal RNA is filed under the name uncultured bacterium. RNAcentral's name for it is "partial 16S ribosomal RNA". It matches the Rfam family "Bacterial small subunit ribosomal RNA", at positions 524 to 776 of the family's 1533-position model. The record is from RNAcentral.
UACGGAGGGUGCAAGCGUUGUUCGGAAUUACUGGGCGUAAAGGGCGCGUAGGCGGCGCUGUAAGUCAGAUGUGAAAGUCCACGGCUUAACCGUGGAAGUGCAUCUGAUACUGCAGCGCUUGAGUAUCGGAGGGGAAAGUAGAAUUCCCGGUGUAGAGGUGAAAUUCGUAGAUAUCGGGAGGAAUACCGGUGGCGAAGGCGACUUUCUGGACGAAUACUGACGCUGAGGCGCGAAAGCGUGGGGAGCAAACAGG